This 497-nucleotide ribosomal RNA is filed under the name uncultured bacterium. Its description in RNAcentral is "partial 16S ribosomal RNA". It matches the Rfam family "Bacterial small subunit ribosomal RNA", at positions 28 to 507 of the family's 1533-position model. The record is from RNAcentral.
GAUGAACGCUGGCGGCGUGCCUAAUACAUGCAAGUCGAGCGAACAGACGAGGAGCUUGCUCCUCUGACGUUAGCGGCGGACGGGUGAGUAACACGUGGAUAACCUACCUAUAAGACUGGGAUAACUUCGGGAAACCGGAGCUAAUACCGGAUAAUAUAUUGAACCGCAUGGUUCAAUAGUGAAAGACGGUUUUGCUGUAACUUAUAGAUGGAUCCGCGCCGCAUUAGCUAGUUGGUAAGGUAACGGCUUACCAAGGCGACGAUGCGUAGCCGACCUGAGAGGGGGAUCGGCCACACGGGAACUGAGACACGGUCCAGACUCCUACGGGAGGCAGCAGUAGGGAAUCUUCCGCAAUGGGCGAAAGCCUGACGGAGCAACGCCGCGUGAGUGAUGAAGGUCUUCGGAUCGUAAAACUCUGUUAUUAGGGAAGAACAAAUGUGUAAGUAACUAUGCACGUCUUGACGGUACCUAAUCAGAAAGCCACGGCUAACUACGUG